CUUGUGUUUUCUUUAAUUUUCGAAGAUAAAUCUAGUGUUCCUGUGCCUUUGAAGUUUUAUUGCUGUCAGGAUUUCUCAUUCUCAUUCUAAAAUUAUCAAAAUCUUUUUGUUUCAGGAAAAGAUUAUAGAUGAACUCGGUAACGAGAUGGAUAGUACAUCAAACCGUCUAGAUUUUGUCCAAAAAAAAGUGGCAAUGGUUAUGAAGAAGGCCAGUGCAAAGGGCCAGAUCAUGAUGAUUUUGGGCUUGUUGGCUCUGUUCAUUUUCCUAUUUUUCUUAGUAUUCCUUACCUAGUUAGUGUUACUGUGCAGUCUGUGCUGUUUGUAUAUGGAAACUGGUCUCAUUUUUUAUGUGGAGAAUAGAGGAAAUAGACAUCUAUGAAGUCAAUGGAUCUUUGUAGAAAAUUCUUUAUAUGAUGGACAAAAGAGUGUAAUGUACUUCAUGAUUUAUAAUAGGAUUUUAACUCUAAUUAAUA
Long non-coding RNA from Vicia villosa (hairy vetch), 473 nucleotides. RefSeq lists it as uncharacterized. The record is from RefSeq and is a predicted model, not a curated record. NCBI's taxonomy places the organism in Eukaryota, Viridiplantae, Streptophyta, Magnoliopsida, Fabales, Fabaceae. The transcript has 2 exons.